CUUGAAGGGACAAGAAGAACUUCAUGAAGACAUGGUCUGCAGGGUUUUUUUUUUUUCCGAAUGCUUUUGUGUUUUUGGUUUGAAGUUGGUUCAUCUCUGCAUUUUUUUCUCUAUACAUUUGAACAGAUCUUUGCAUAUUUGAAGAUCUCGUGUUCAGAUCUGGCUGGUUAUUUUUUUAUUUUUUAUUUUUUGGUUUGCUUCCAUAGAUCUAAAAUAGAUCCGACUGAGGUUUUUUUUUUUGGGUAUUUUUUCGUCUUCAGAUAUGAGUGGCGUCAUUCGCUGAUCUCCAAGUAUAUGUUGCUGCCUCUGUUUUGCUAUUGUUUUACAGACAUGGUCUGCAGGUUUUUUUUUUUUUUUUUUCCGAAUGCUUUUGUGUUUUUGGUUUGAAGUUGGUUCAUCUCUGCAUUUUUUUCUCUAUACAUUUGAACAGAUCUUCGCAUAUUUGAAGAUCUCGUGUUCAGAUCUGACUGGUUAUUUUUUUAUUUUUUAUUUUUUGGU
Juglans microcarpa x Juglans regia is the source of this 498-nucleotide long non-coding RNA. RefSeq lists it as uncharacterized. The transcript has 2 exons. The record is from RefSeq and is a predicted model, not a curated record. NCBI's taxonomy places the organism in Eukaryota, Viridiplantae, Streptophyta, Magnoliopsida, Fagales, Juglandaceae.